This 501-nucleotide ribosomal RNA is filed under the name uncultured bacterium. RNAcentral describes it as "partial 16S ribosomal RNA". It matches the Rfam family "Bacterial small subunit ribosomal RNA", at positions 30 to 523 of the family's 1533-position model. The record is from RNAcentral.
AUUGAACGCUGGCGGCAUGCCUUACACAUGCAAGUCGAACGGCAGCACGGGAGCUUGCUCCUGGUGGCGAGUGGCGAACGGGUGAGUAAUACAUCGGAACGUACCCAGGAGUGGGGGAUAACGUAGCGAAAGUUACGCUAAUACCGCAUAUUCUGUGAGCAGGAAAGCGGGGGAUCGCAAGACCUCGCGCUCUUGGAGCGGCCGAUGUCGGAUUAGCUAGUUGGUGAGGUAAAAGCUCACCAAGGCGACGAUCCGUAGCAGGUCUGAGAGGAUGAUCUGCCACCCUGGGACUGAGACACGGCCCAGACUCCUACGGGAGGCAGCAGUGGUGAAUUUUGGACAAUGGGGCAACCCUGAUCCAGCCAUGCCGCGUGAGUGAAGAAGGCCUUCGGGUUGUAAAGCUCUUUCGGCGGGGAAGAAAUGGCAACGGCUAAUAUCCGUUGUUGAUGACGGUACCCGCAUAAGAAGCACCGGCUAACUACGUGCCAGCCGCCGCAGUAA